UAUAAGUAUAUAAUUGUUGAACUUUUAUAUUGAUUUUAUAUGAAAUCAAAUCAAUUUGACUAUAUUAUUUUUAAGACCAGUAACUAAUUCCUUUCGUACUAAAGUUUGGCGGUUAGUUCUUUGAUUAUAGAUAGAAACCUUCCUGUCUUACGACGGAAUGAACUCAAAUCAUGUAUGGUUUUAAUGGUCGAACAGACCAACCCUUAAAAGCUGCUGCACCUUUAGGAUACCACAAUUCAACAUCGAGGUGGCAAACAUUUUUAUCGAUAUGAACUCUUCAAAAAUAUUACCCUGUUAUCCCUAUGGUAACUUUUUCUAUAUUCGUUAAUUUAAAUAAAAUUAAUUAACGGGUCAUUAUAUCCUACCAAUAGGUAACUGUUUAAUUUAUAAAUAUUCAGUAAGGCUUUUUAUAUUACUAUAAAACCUUUAGAAUUCCUCUGAUACUAUUUUAGAGGUGGUCGCCCCAACCAAACUAACAAACUUACAAAAAUUUUCGUUAUAUAAAUAUUCAAAUGAGGUUAAUUAUAAGCUUUUAGUAAAGCUCAAUAGGGUCUUUUCGUCUUAUAAUCAUAGGAUAGCAUCUUCACUAUCAUUUCAAUUUAGUUAGAUUUCUUCUUGAGACAGUAAGAGAUUCGUUUAACCAUUCAUUCCAGUCACCAAUUAAAUGACGAGUGAUUAUGCUACUUUAUCACGGUCAGAGUUACCGCGGCUAUUUAACUGUUGUUAUUGUUUAUUAGCAGCCAUUGAGCAGGUUUCACCUUGCAAAUUUGUAGCAGGGCUAUGUUUUUGGUAAACAGUCGAUCUCGUUGUUAGCUGUUAUACUGUUUUGCCGAGUUCCUUAAAAAGAAUUAAAAUUUUUAGUUUCCUACAUUAGUUUGAAAGUACGGUUGUUAGGUCUUACUGAUUUCUAGAACUACAAGUUUUAGUAAAAUACUUUUAGAGUUUUAGAGUCCGUAUAAUUUUUCAAACCCCCAGGAUUAAUAUACUAUUCAUGCUUACAUUAUCUCCAUUAUUUUGAUAAUCUGUUCUACUACCUUUUUAUGAAGUUUCAGGUUUUAUUAGUCACCGUAAUUUGUAAUAAAUAUAUUCUCAAAAACUGCUGUUACGCAUUGAAUGAAAGGUGGCUGCUUCCAAGCCAACUUGUUUUGUAUUAUCACUUUUUUAUGUGGUGCACUUAUCUUGUCAGUGUCUUUAACUUUCAUAGAGAGUUGUUUCUCUUUCAACCAUCAAUCUUGUCAUUAAUAGUUUGUGGUUAUGAUUGUUAUUACAUGUUAUUUAGGUAAAUAAACAUGUAAUAUUUCAUUCUUUCUCUUAUAAGAAUUUCGUAGAAAACCAGCUAUUUCUAAGUUCGAUUAGUAUUUUACCUCUACUCCAAAAUCUUCCGAAGCUUUUGCAACAGCUAUCGGUUUGUACAGAAUACUGUUCUGGAGUUGAACACUUAGUUUCGGGAAAAUUUGAUUUGUGUUUUUGAAAUGAAUUACAAUUAAUUUACCAAAUUGUUUCUUGUAAGCCCAUUAUACAAAAGGUACGUUGAAUCACAACAGGCUUUUUAAGAGAUUGUGGAUUAUAAUAUUUUUCCUUCACAGUACUAUCAAUAUUAGUCUUGACAUAAUUCACUUAGAUUUUAUAUUAACCGUAUGUUAAUUUAUGUGUAUAUAAUUUCGCUCGCCGCUACUUUUAUAUCUUUAUUCUAUUUAAUAUAAGAUGUUUCUUCUAAAGAUGUAAAUAAACAUUUUUGACACCAUUAAGCUCCCUUGUAAUUUUUUAGGGAAAAAGUUUCCUAGCGAAGGUGGUAGAUGACAAGCUUAUAAUCUU
This 1815-nucleotide ribosomal RNA is filed under the name Stomolophus sp. CG-2019. RNAcentral's name for it is "16S ribosomal RNA". The record is from RNAcentral. Lineage: Eukaryota; Metazoa; Cnidaria; Scyphozoa; Rhizostomeae; Stomolophidae.